This 238-nucleotide ribosomal RNA is filed under the name uncultured bacterium. RNAcentral's name for it is "partial 16S ribosomal RNA". It matches the Rfam family "Bacterial small subunit ribosomal RNA", at positions 15 to 235 of the family's 1533-position model. The record is from RNAcentral.
GAUCCUAGCUCAGGAUGAACGCUGGCGGCGUGCUUAACACAUGCAAGUCGAGCGAAGCACUUAGGAAAGAUUCUUCGGAUGAUUUCCUAUUUGACUGAGCGGCGGACGGGUGAGUAACGCGUGGGUAAUCUGCCUCAUACAGGGGGAUAACAGUUAGAAAUGACUGCUAAUACCGCAUAAGACCACAGCACCGCAUGGUGCAGGGGUAAAAACUCCGGUGGUAUGAGAUGGACCCGCG